AUGGCCGCCCUCACCGCCUCCAUCGCCACCUCCACGGCCUUCGCCGCCAAGCCGCGCCUGGCCCGCCCGCCGGCGCGCCUCUCCGUCUCCUGCUCCGCGUCCAGCGGCGACAACACCACCCCCUCCCUCUCCGCCUCCAUCAAGACCUUCUCGGCGGCCCUGGCGCUCUCCUCCGUCCUCCUCUCCUCCGCCGCCACCUCCCCGCCGCCGGCUGCCGCCGACAUCGCGGGCCUGACCCCGUGCAAGGAGUCCAAGGCGUUCGCCAAGCGGGAGAAGCAGUCGGUGAAGAAGCUCAACUCGUCGCUCAAGAAGUACGCGCCCGACUCGGCCCCCGCGCUCGCCAUCCAGGCCACCAUCGAGAAGACCAAGCGCCGGUUUGAGAACUACGGCAAGUUCGGCCUGCUCUGCGGCUCCGACGGCCUGCCCCACCUCAUCGUCAGCGGCGACCAGCGGCACUGGGGCGAGUUCAUCACCCCCGGCGUGCUCUUCCUCUACAUCGCCGGCUGGAUCGGGUGGGUCGGCCGCAGCUACCUCAUCGCCGUCAGCGGCGAGAAGAAGCCCGCCAUGAGGGAGAUCAUCAUCGACGUCGAGCUCGCCGCCAGGAUCAUCCCCAGGGGCUUCAUCUGGCCCGUCGCCGCCUACCGCGAGCUCAUCAACGGCGACCUCGUCGUCGACGACGCCGACAUCGGCUACUAA
RNAcentral lists this ribosomal RNA (696 nucleotides) under Triticum aestivum (bread wheat). RNAcentral describes it as "partial small subunit ribosomal RNA". Lineage: Eukaryota; Viridiplantae; Streptophyta; Magnoliopsida; Poales; Poaceae. The record is from RNAcentral.